UUUGCACUUUUUUGGGAAAACUCCUUCAACACACACUCCGGACUCCAAAUAAUGUAGUUAAAAAGCUAAAUUCAAAUAUGAUUUUACCUCAAGUUAAAAAUCAUUUACCAAGAUUCAAACCUCUCAAACAGUUUAGAACUCAUCAAGAAGUAAUCAUAAUUCAUAAUGAUCGAAUAAAAUCAGAACCAUUAUUUUGUACUUAAGUAAUCAUUGAUAGGACGUUAAACUUAAUAGUCAUAAUUUAUCAAUAGGCCACAUACUUCCAUGGGCUAUUAUGUACACCAAUACUUUUUAAUAGGGUCGGAUGCAAAGAAAGGUGGUAUCUCAAUUUUGUUGGGUUUUAAUCAUCAAGGGAAUUUCGAAAAGGUGGCCUCCCAAAUUUGUGCUUCUUCGAGUAUCAUAAUUGACUUCAAUCGUUCGUCGCGUAGAUUUUCCGAAUUCUUUCAUCAAUUUUGGGGACUGGUAGUAUUUAGUAAAUAACUUUUGAUUUUUUGCGAUUUUGAAGUUAUGAUUUAUAGCGCACAAUAUGUAUAUGUGAGUGCUUUAUAAUGAUUUUUUAAAAAAAAUGAAUUCACUUUAUAUUGUAAAGGAGCUACUCUCUUUAUUGCCAUAUGAUUUUAAGGUGCAACCUUCUUUAUUUUAUCACUUGUGUCUCUCCUUAUGAUGGGUGCGGCCUAGGUCCAUAUUUAACACGCGGCUUUUAGUUUUUGCACAUAGUAGGAAAAAUGAUAAUAAAUAGUGAAAGUAUUGGGUCAGACCGUCUGACCAUAAGUUAUGGUCAGACGAGUCCAACCCAAUACUAAAAUUUCGUGUUCUUUCCUGUCAGUCCCUUAGAUUUUUUGCAUAUCAAAGGGAUAUGGAAAUUGCAGAUCUGAAGGUCAAACUGGAUGAUGGCGCAACAAAAACGAUUCAGUCAUUCUUUUAGCAGAUGAAGCCAUCCAAGUUUAAACAUGCGAAAUUAUAUCAUAUGAUAGAUUCUUCUUCUUCAAUGAUGCGACGAAUAAUCUGGGCUGAGUUCAAAUUUCUUUCUUCAAUUUGGAGUGCCUUGAAGAUCCAGUGUUGUGUAUACUCCAAUACUUUCAUUUGGAGGUAAGUUACUUUUAUUUAAAGGUAACUUACUUUCAUUUAGAGAGGUAACUUACUUUUAUUUGGAGGUAACUUACUUUCAUUUAGAGGUAAGUUACUUUCAUUUAGAGGUAAGAUAAGUAACUGAACUUAGAAGACAUCCAACUGAAAAAAAUUUGAAAUCAACUGAACAAAAAAAAUUAAGACUAACUGAAAAAAAUGAAGACUAACUGAAAAAAAAUUAAGACUAACUGAAAAAAAUUAAGACUAACUGAAAAAAAAUGGAGACUAACUGAAAAAAAUUAAGACUAACUGAAAAAAAAAUGAAAACCAACUGAAAAAAAAAAUGAAGACUAACUGAAAAAAAAUAAA
This is a long non-coding RNA of Beta vulgaris subsp. vulgaris (sugar beet), 1437 nucleotides long. RefSeq lists it as uncharacterized. The record is from RefSeq and is a predicted model, not a curated record. NCBI's taxonomy places the organism in Eukaryota, Viridiplantae, Streptophyta, Magnoliopsida, Caryophyllales, Amaranthaceae. The transcript has 2 exons.